RNAcentral lists this ribosomal RNA (551 nucleotides) under uncultured bacterium. RNAcentral describes it as "bacterial SSU rRNA". It matches the Rfam family "Bacterial small subunit ribosomal RNA", at positions 272 to 842 of the family's 1533-position model. The record is from RNAcentral.
GGCGACGAUCAGUAGCCGACCUGAGAGGGUGAUCGGCCACAUUGGAACUGAGACACGGUCCAAACUCCUACGGGAGGCAGCAGUGGGGAAUAUUGCACAAUGGGCGAAAGCCUGAUGCAGCAACGCCGCGUGAGUGAUGAAGGCCUUCGGGUCGUAAAACUCUGUCCUCAAGGAAGAUAAUGACGGUACUUGAGGAGGAAGCCCCGGCUAACUACGUGCCAGCAGCCGCGGUAAUACGUAGGGGGCUAGCGUUAUCCGGAUUUACUGGGCGUAAAGGGUGCGUAGGCGGUCUUUCAAGUCAGGAGUGAAAGGCUACGGCUCAACCGUAGUAAGCUCUUGAAACUGGGAGACUUGAGUGCAGGAGAGGAGAGUGGAAUUCCUAGUGUAGCGGUGAAAUGCGUAGAUAUUAGGAGGAACACCAGUUGCGAAGGCGGCUCUCUGGACUGUAACUGACGCUGAGGCACGAAAGCGUGGGGAGCAAACAGGAUUAGAUACCCUGGUAGUCCACGCUGUAAACGAUGAGUACUAGGUGUCGGGGGUUACCCCCUUCG